AUUGACAAACCCAUAUUUUUAAAAAUAAAAAUUUACUUUGUUUGAAGAACCUCCAAUAAAAAUACCUGACAUUUAAUGUCAGAUUUUAACAUGGAACUAGACACUAGGCAAUUAUCCCAAAUACUUGAUGUCAGGUUCAAAACCAGACAGGUGGCAACCCUAUUUGGCAUAGAGCUAUAUUCAAAAACCAGGGUUUCCCAAUUUGCUUCCAUCCUUUAUGAAUGCCAUGGAUGUACACAGACUCCCUCUGUCAGAUUCUUCUUCUUAUUGCUUGAAUGGCCCAAUCAGUGGUAUAUGGGGUGGCAUC
This 307-nucleotide long non-coding RNA is filed under the name Androctonus crassicauda. The record is from RNAcentral. Lineage: Eukaryota; Metazoa; Arthropoda; Arachnida; Scorpiones; Buthidae.